UCAGCCACACUGGGACUGAGACACUGCCCAGACUCCUACGGGAGGCUGCAGUCGAGGAUCAUUUGCAAUGCGCGAAAGCGUGACAAUGCGACGCUGCGUGGAGGACGAAGGCCCUAGGGUUGUAAACUCCUGUCAUGUGGGAAAAACUGCCCCUUCACUAAUACGGAUGGGGUUUGAUGGUACCACAAGAGGAAGCGACGGCAAACUUCGUGCCAGCAGCCGCGGUAAUACGAAGGUCGCUAGCGUUGUUCGGAUUUACUGGGCGUAAAGGGUGCGUAGGUGGUUUCGUGUGUCGGCUGUGAAAGCCCGGGGCUCAACCCCGGAACUGCAUCCGAAACUGCGGAACUAGAGUCCAGGAGGGGAGAGCGGAAUUCAGGGUGUAGCGGUGAAAUGCGUUGAUAUCCUGAAGAACACCGGUGGCGAAGGCGGCUCUCUGGAAUGGUACCGACACUGAGGCACGAAAGCGUGGGGAGCAAACAGGAUUAGAUACCCUGGUAGUCCACGCCGUAAACGGUGCGCACUUGGUGUGGGAGGUAUUGACCCCUCCCGUGCCGGAGCUAACGCGUUAAGUGCGCCGCCUGGGGAGUACGACCGCAAGGUUAAAACUCAAAGAAAUUGACGGGGGCCCGCACAAGCGGAGGAGCAUGUGGCUUAAUUCGAUGCAACGCGAAGAACCUUACCAAGGCUUGACAUCUAGCUGCACGCCUCCCGAAAGGGAGGAAGCUUUCGAAGGUGCUAGACAGGUGCUGCAUGGCUGUCGUCAGUUCGUGCCGUGAGGUGUUUGGUUAAGUCCAGCAACGAACGCAACCCCUGUGUCUAGCUGCCACCGACGGUGAUGAGCCGUCGAGCACUCUAGACAGACUGCCCGUACAAGCGGGAGGAAGGUGGGGACGACGUCAAGUCAGUAUGGCCCUUACGCCUUGGGCUGCACACGUGCUACAAUGGCAGGUACAGAGGGAUGCUAUACGGCGAGGUGGCGCAAAUCCACAAAACCUGCCCCAGUUCGGAUUGGAGUCUGCAACUCGACUCCAUGAAGUUGGAUUCGCUAGUAAUGCCGUAUCAGCUACGACGGCGUGAAUACGUUCCCGGGCCUUGUACACACCGCCCGUCACAUCAUGAAAGCCGUCUGCACCCGAAGUCGUUGAUCUAACCCGCAAGGGAGGAAGGCGCCGAAGGUGUGGGUGGUGAUUGGGAUGAAGUCGGAACAAGGUA
Molecule: ribosomal RNA, 1212 nt
Filed under: metagenome
Description: bacterial SSU rRNA
Rfam family: Bacterial small subunit ribosomal RNA
Source: RNAcentral